AUUCAACAUUUAUAUUAAUCUCACUGUGUGUGUAAUGGUAAUGUAAUCUUCACUUUUGUUAUUCAAUCAUAUUGUAAUCAAUAUAUCAAUAUGUGCACUUAAACGAUUCUGUUUCUGAGUAUUGCAGAUUUCAUGUGUUUGCAGAAGGUCACGAAGUCCUAUCAAAUUCAAUAACAGGAAACAUCUUGGGCGACCAUUGCUUGAGGAGGAUAAAACUAAGGAGGAUGAAAUGAGGAGGGCAGACUGACCUUAACUCUGGCCUGAAUACUGUAUUGAAGUGUUAUUUUUGUGUUUUCCUGUAAGCAAAGAGGAACUACUCCUUUAAUGUUUAAUGUUUUGCAUGUUCCCCCUCCCGCUCUGAGAGGAGUAGUUCCCAGUGUAACUAGGGGUCCUAAUUUUCAAUAAAAGGCGUGGAGAAACGAGAGAAGGCUUUAGAGAGUAUUGGGGUGAAUAACAGCUAGUUUCAUGUAACUAGAGUUCUUCUCUCGGUUACUCCCUCCACGCGUGUAAAAGAUAUUAAUCUCUUGUCUUCUCUCUUGUUGAAUAUUGAGUAUAGGUAAAGGUGAACCUAUCAACUUGGUCCUAUCGAGCCGGAAACCAAUACACCUGAGGACUCCAGCGGAGUGGUAGACCCAGGAAAGACUGUGCACAGCUUUGAAGACCUUUUCCGGGACUGGCUCUAUGGCUUGGUUGGGGUCUGAUGGUUGACGGGUUACCGAGAGAGAGAGACAACAGACAACAGUAAUCCUGAUCUCCCCUCCUCCUGCAGUCAGGUAUAUCUUGUGGCCUGUGGCAGCAGGGCGGGGAAGGCAGUACCAGCAGAGAGAGGAGAAGAUACUAUGUUGUGAUUAUUUUACAAAAGAAAGUCAGCCACGGAGAAAAUGAUUUUAUUUGGUCUUUAAAAUAAAUGGAUAAAUGAAGUUCCUGGAUCUCCACGAGUUCUUAUUUUUUUACGUGAGUUACAAACCUCCUCACAAAACAUUCAUUUAUUUGUGUUGUGUUACCAUUAUAUUUUCUUUUUCUCUCAUGUUUUUGUAACUCUAAAUGAAUAAAUCAUUCAAUCAAGUAUCAAAAUCUGACUUUAAAUCAGGAUGAAGUGAACAGAGCUGCAGACCAACACUGUGUCCUUUUAAAUAUUACACUUUAAGAUGCUUUUUAGUAUUACUUUGAAGUGACCAUUAAAUUAUAAAACAAAA
Boleophthalmus pectinirostris (great blue-spotted mudskipper) is the source of this 1196-nucleotide long non-coding RNA. RefSeq lists it as uncharacterized. The transcript has 2 exons. The record is from RefSeq and is a predicted model, not a curated record. NCBI's taxonomy places the organism in Eukaryota, Metazoa, Chordata, Actinopteri, Gobiiformes, Gobiidae.